RNAcentral lists this ribosomal RNA (477 nucleotides) under uncultured bacterium. RNAcentral's name for it is "partial 16S ribosomal RNA". It matches the Rfam family "Bacterial small subunit ribosomal RNA", at positions 28 to 523 of the family's 1533-position model. The record is from RNAcentral.
GACGAACGCUGGCGGCGUGCUUAACACAUGCAAGUCGAACGGUAAGGCCCUUCGGGGUACACGAGUGGCGAACGGGUGAGUAACACGUGGGUGAUCUGCCCUGCACUUCGGGAUAAGCCUGGGAAACUGGUCUAAUACCGGAUAGGACCACUGCCUGCAUGGGUGGUGGUGGAAAGCUUUUGCGGUGUGGGAUGGGCCCGCGGCCUAUCAGCUUGUUGGUGGGGUGAUGGCCUACCAAGGCGACGACGGGUAGCCGGCCUGAGAGGGUGACCGGCCACACUGGGACUGAGAUACGGCCCAGACUCCUACGGGAGGCAGCAGUGGGGAAUAUUGCACAAUGGGCGCAAGCCUGAUGCAGCGACGCCGCGUGAGGGAUGACGGCCCUCGGGUUGUAAACCUCUUUCAGCACCGACGAAGCGCAAGUGACGGUAGGUGCAGAAGAAGGACCGGCCAACUACGUGCCAGCAGCCGCCGUAA